AUUGAACGCUGGCGGAAUGCUUUACACAUGCAAGUCGAACGGCAGCACGGACUUCGGUCUGGUGGCGAGUGGCGAACGGGUGAGUAAUGUAUCGGAACGUGCCCAGUCGUGGGGGAUAACGUAGUGAAAAUUACGCUAAUACCGCAUACGAUCUAUGGAUGAAAGCGGGGGAUCGCAAGACCUCGCGCGAUUGGAGCGGCCGAUAUCAGAUUAGGUAGUUGGUGGGGUAAAGGCCCACCAAGCCAACGAUCUGUAGCUGGUCUGAGAGGACGACCAGCCACACUGGAACUGCGACACCGUCCAGACUCCUACGGGAGGCAGCAGUGGGGAAUUUUGGACAAGGGGCGAAAGCCUGAUCCAGCCAUUCCGCGUGCAGGAUGAAGGCCCUCGGGUUGUAAACUGCUUUUGUACAGAACGAAAAGGUUUCUACUAAUACUAGGAGCUCAUGACGGUACUGUAAGAAUAAGCACCGGCUAACUACGUGCCAGCCGCCGCGGUAA
This 500-nucleotide ribosomal RNA is filed under the name uncultured bacterium. Its description in RNAcentral is "partial 16S ribosomal RNA". It matches the Rfam family "Bacterial small subunit ribosomal RNA", at positions 30 to 523 of the family's 1533-position model. The record is from RNAcentral.